UCCUUGUUCGUUCUGAUCCCCGGCCUCUCCCUUGGUCUUCUCCUCCACCACUCCCUCGAAAACCCUAUCCAUCGCGGCAUCGCCGACGGCCACUGCCAUCUGCUGCUCCUCCGAACUCUCAAGGCCUCGUUUGCCCCUCUCUCCAAUCUUGAAUCGCGAUAGAAGAGACCCUUAGCUGUCCAUAUAGCGUUGAAACGGUGUUGGUGGUACCGAUUCCUACCAUCUCCUGCUGAGGGUCUGCAAGCCGAUCGUUUUCCUCUUCUUUUUCUUUAAUGAAUCAAAUCACUUAUGAUGAAAGGAAGGACCUCUUCUUAAUCUCAAACUUUUGUAAAUGAUAACGGUCAAUGGAGUAAAUUGUUCGGAAACCUGUUGCAUUUGUUUCCUUUUUUUUUUUCCUCAGGUGCAGGCUAAGCUACAGAUCUGUCGCUAUGUAUGCUUAGAGAAAAAUGAGUUUUUGAUGGGAGGGAAGCUUGUACCUGUAAUUAUACAAGAUCUUCAGGUGGUGAACAGCUUGAGAUGGUUUUGGUAUUGCGGACCUCACCUCUCGAGGGAAAGUGGGGGAGGACUAGAAAAAUUCUAUGGUAUGAGCUGCGCCCGACCUAGUUGCUGGUUGGAAGCUGACAACGGAGGAGACGAUUGGGUAUGGUAAAAUGCACAAUGGGCUCUACUACCUGGAUGAAGGGGAGCUGAAGAACUACUAUCAGAAAGCCGAUAUGGUUGUUUCAUCAUCUAAUGAUGUCAUGCAUAAACUUCAGUUAAAGCACCACAGGCUUGGACAUAUCUCCUUUUCUGUUUUAUCGAGAUUACUUUCCAGUUUAUAUCAUUCUUGUGCUAAAGAACAGUUAGUUUGUGAUGCAUGUGAAUAUGCUAGGCACAUGCGCAAUACUUAUCCGACUUCAGGAACUUGUAGUAAUAGACUAUUUGAGGUUGUUCAUUUUGAUGUGUGGGGAUCCUAUAGUAUUGUCUUCACUUCUGGACGUCGUUAUUUUGUGAUUUUUAUUGACUGUUACAGUAGAGUAACUUGGAUAUAUCUUCUGAAGGCUAAAGAUGAGGUUGUACAUUGUUUCAAAGAGUUCCAUAAAUUAGUUGAUACCCAGUUUAGUACCAGAAUUAAAGUAUUGAGAUCUAAUAAUGGCACAGAAUAUAUGCAUAGGGAGUUUUGUGAGUAUCUAACUAUUCAUGGAAUUAUCCACUAAACUACUUGUGAUGACACCCCAGCCCAGAAUGGUGUUGCUGAACCAAAAAAUCGACAUAUUUUAGAAGUUGCUAGAUCCUUGUUAUUUGCUAUACGAGUUCCAAAAAUCUUAUGGGGUGAGGCAGUUCUCACUACAGCUUAUCUGAUUAACUGCAUGCCUCUUCGAACUUUGGAGUAUAAGGCACCACUUGAAUACCUACAGAGGGUGUCUUCUUUUAUUGUACCUCCUCGAGUUUUCGGAUGUGUGUGCUUUAUCCGGGGUCAUUGUCCUACGGUCGGCAAACUUGAUCCAAAAGCUCUGAAGAGUAUCUUUGUAGGCUAUCUUGCUACUCAAAAGGGUUAUAAAUGCUAUUAUCAUCCUAAAAGAUGGAUAUUUAUCAAUAUGGAUGCCACUUUUUGAGAGACUAAAGCCUUUUUUGACAGUGUUUCAACAAUCAAGCCAGCUACUCAAUUACCUUUAGCCCAACAGUUUAUUUGCUCUCCUAGUAUCCCUUCUAGAGUUACUGAUCAAGAGAGGGAGAUUGUGGUGACUGAGGAGUAAGAGCAAGAGCAGGAGCAAGAGCAAGAGCAGACUGAUGAACAGCUGGACAGUGACUCUAAUUGACAGGGAGAGUCUUUGACUGAGCCCAUUAUGCAUUCCAUCACUAUCCAACAGCCUUCCUCUGACUCAGCUCCAGCAUCCUUAUUUGACAAUGGUGACCUACCUUGAAUCUACCUAUUGCUCAUAAAAAAGCUUCUCGUUCUCAUAUUAUUUCUUUCUGAUAUCGUUAUGAUAUUGCUAAUUUUAUUUUCUAUGAGUCUAUUUCACCUGCAUAUAGGUCAUUUAUUGCAUUGUUAGAAUCUAUCUCUAUACCAUCGCACUGGAAGGAUGCUAUGAUAGAUCCUAAGUGGAGGGGAACGAUGUUUGAAGAAAUACGAGCUUUGGCCAAAAAUCAAACUAGGGAACUGGUUCCCUUACCUGUUGGAAAACAAACAGUUGGUUGCAAAUGGGUCUAUACUGUGAAACAAAUCUUUGAGGUUAAAAAUAAUCGGUACAAAGCUCGUCUAGUUGCCAAAGAUUAUACACAGGCAUACGACAUUGAUUAUGAGGAGAUUUUCGCUCCUGUAGCAAAGAUCAACACAGUUCGGACCCUCAUAUCUUGUGCGACAAAUCUCGGCUGGAGUUUUUUCCAACUAAAUGUGAAGAAUGCAUUUUUACAUGGGAUCUUCAAGAGGAGGUGUAUAUAGAGAUUCCUCUUGGAUUCACUAGUACAGAGACUGUUGGCAAGGUCUGCCGUCUGUGCCGGUCACUCUAUGGAUUGAAGCAGUCACCCAGAGCAUGGUUUGAUCGCUUUCAUCGUGCCAUACUCAAAAUAGGUUAUCACCAAAAUAAUGCAGAUCAUACUAUAUUCUUCUGUCAUAAUAAAAGCAAGGUUGCUAUUCUGAUUGUUUAUGUUGAUGACAUCAUUUUUAUUGGUGAUGAUCUCCCAGAGUUGGCCCGUUUGAAGACUCAAUUGGCACAGUCUUUUGAAGUUAAAGAUCUAGGUAACUUACGGUACUUCUUUGGGAUUGAAGUGGUCAGGUCGUCUCAUGGCAUCUUUCUUUCUUAGCAAAAAUACGUCCUGGAUUUAUUGACUGAGACAAGGAUGUUGGGAUGUCGACCUGCUACUAUACCUAUCGAGCAGAAUCAUUAUCUUACUGCUGAUAGUAGUGAGCCAGUUGACCAUGAGCAAUAUCAGCAUCUUGUUGGCAGACUGAUCUAUCUCUCUCACACAAGACCUGACACAGCCUUUGCAGUCAGUGUUGUGAGUUAGUACAUGCAUGAUCCUCGUGAGCGCCAUUAGGAAGCUAUAUAUAGAAUUCUUCGAUAUCUUAAGAGUUGCCCAGAGCAUGAUCGUCUUUUCUCUCAUUAUGAACAUCUCAAAGUUGAAGCUUAUUUUGAUGCUGAUUAGGCAGGCUUCAUAGAUGAUCGGUGAUCUACCUCAGGCUAUUGUACUUUUGUUGGUGGAAAUCUUAUGACUUGACAUAGUAAGAAACAAGAUGUUGUCGCUCGAUCUAGUGCAGAGGCUGAGUACCGAGCUAUUGCUCAAGGCAUUUGUGAGAUCUUAUGAUUGAAACGACUAUUGUUGAGUUACAUCUCUUUCAGUCUUCUUCUUUAUUUCUAUUCUAUGAUAAUAAGGCGACCAUUAACAUUGCCAAUAAUCCUGUUCAACAUGAUAGAAUUAAGCACAUAGAGAUUGACCGUCAUUUCAUCAAGGAGAAGUUGGAUUAGAAAGUUAUCUGUUUGUCAUUUAUUAAGUCUUCAGAACAAUUGGCAGACAUACUGACGAAGGGUCUCAGUGCUUAUAUAUUUUCUUUGAUUUGUAGCAAGAUGAGACUUCGUGAUAUCUUCACCUCAUCUUGAGGGGGAGUGUUGACAGCCUAGCCUACCCUGAUUUCCGUCCAUGGUCUUUUCCAGCUUAGGUAAUAGCCAUGAAUGGUCUUUCCUAGUUUAGGGGAUAACCAAGAAUGGGUUGUCACCUUCUUAAUAGCCAUGAAUGGUCUUUCCUAGUUUAGGGGGUAACCAAGAAUGGGUUGUCACCUUCCUUUGUAAAGAAUGAAAAUCAUGUACAAAAAGGGGAGGAUCCCUAAGGCUGAAAGUAAGAGAGAGAAAAAAAAAAUCUUGUUCCACUUUCUCCCGUAUAUCUCUUCUUCUUUUCAACUAAACCACUUUUUUUUUUCCUUUGGGAUUACCAAAAUGUCUCAUUACACUUCAUGAAAUAUCAUUCUUAGCACUGGUUGAAAACUUGAAAUUGUUUCCAUUCAUAUUAAAGAUUCUGCACAUAGUUCUCAACUUUGGUGUGAACUUUGCAUGGAUACUUUGACCAAAAACCUUCUUUUGAAUGACCCAAUAGUUUCUUUUGCUUAUUAUCUUUUACAUGAUCCACAAUUUACCUUUGAUCAUACAUUCUACUUUUGUGAGAAUGAUCGUCUGUUUUAUACAGAGGAAAAGUUGGAUAUGUCUAAUAGAUAGAAUUGAGUGAAUGGUUUUGGAUGCAGAAAGAAAAAGCAGAGCUUGGUUGCUGCUGAUGCAUUUGCAGCUUUAGAUGAUGCUAUUGAGAGCAACAUGGAAACUCAUUGAGAUGGUGUCCAACAAUAAAAGUACAACAGAUGCAAGCAGAGAAAGCUUCAAGAUGUUCCACCUCAUUUUUCAGAGUUACCUUUAUAGAUCUAGCUGCAAUUUGUAGUCCUUUGUGAUCCUGAACUAGUUUCUGGAAAAUUGCCCAUCAAAUGUAUCUUGCAAGAUCCUUCUUUGGAGGUGUCCAUUCUGAACUCAGUUGAGUUCCUUCUGUUAUGACUGCUUGAACUCUUACAGAAAACUAUAUGCAUCAUUGGUUGUUGGUAAUUGAUCUUUCUGUAAGCUAUGGAAUAUGGCCUGGCUUUUAAUUUUCCCCUCAAAUUGUUCAACCCAUCAUUACAAAGUUUGAUAAAAUCUCUUCAUUUGAUUUCUUUACAUGGAUACAUUUAAUUGAGAAACUUAAAUUGCAAGAGACUAUUUUUUUCUGCAUUAAUGGAGGACAAUUUUUCUGACAUGGGCACGGGAAGUGCAUGUAGCAAAGAGCCUGCAGAUGGCAUGUGGGCUGUGGCUGGUCGCAUGUGGUGUCUAAUUGGGCUAUUUACAGGACAUGCAGUCAAUCAUUGUUUAGUUUCUCUUGUUAUACAUCAAUAGAAACACUAGAGACAGGAAGGACACUUUCUUGGUAUUGUAUAUACUAUAUCAUCAACUGAAUGCUAUGGGGUUGUUUCUACAUUUUUUGUUGUUCCUACGUAAUUCGAGAUUAGCAAUGGUCAACUGUGAAAAUUUAAAUUUCAUUGAAAAUACCUCUGUUUUUUCAAGACUAGUUCAAUUAUCAUAAUGUUUGUUGAAGCAUUAGAAUAUUAUUAAGAUGCAGAACCUAAAGCUUUUCUCCUUCCCCCAAAAAACUUGAAGCUUUCCUCUAUGAUUCAAAUUUUGACAUAUUGCUACAAAUGUAUUAACCAUAACUAUCUGUUCACUGCUCAGUGCUAUCAAGAAGAGCCACAUUCUUUGUCAUUUUUUUUUUUUAAUCCUUUUCCAUGAGUAACAACUGCAUUACAAUUUUAUAAUAAUAACAAUGCAUUGUCUGCCCUUUCCCCCA
Molecule: non-coding RNA, 5331 nt
Organism: Elaeis guineensis (African oil palm)
Lineage: Eukaryota; Viridiplantae; Streptophyta; Magnoliopsida; Arecales; Arecaceae
Source: RefSeq, a predicted model, not a curated record